This is a long non-coding RNA of Manis javanica (Malayan pangolin), 2689 nucleotides long. RefSeq lists it as uncharacterized. Lineage: Eukaryota; Metazoa; Chordata; Mammalia; Pholidota; Manidae. The record is from RefSeq and is a predicted model, not a curated record.
GGAGCUUGGCCAAGGGGUUCUGGGAUCUGCGGUGGAGGGUUCAUGAGAACCGCCAGAAAAGCGCCGGACGGCCCCCUCGGCGGGCCCAGGGCGCUUACUUCAUCUGGUACAGGUUGUUGGUACCGCGGUGGUCGAUGUCGUGGCACAGGCCGGCGGUCACCAUGGCCAACGCCUCCAGUACUUAGUAAGAUUUCUUUGGGAAGUGCUGGCCAGCUGCCCCUGUUCUGCGGGAGAACUGGGGGAAGAGGGUUCCCUCACUUGGGCCAUGGGGCGGCAGGCACUGCCUGAGGAGUGAAGGUGCAAGCAGGGCAGAGGCCACAAAGCCACGGGAGGCGGGAAGGCUGCUCCCUCCUCCUGGGACACCUCCGAGGGGCUCUGUGCUCAAACCCACAGCAUGCCCAUGCCUUCCCCGCGGCGGACUGGCUGCUGCGGCUGCCUCGCCGCCAUUCCGACUCCCGCAAUUGCCCUGUGAGGCCCGAUGAUCGCAUUGCCUAGAACUGUUUUUCAAACUCUCCACCCAUCCAGUCAUCCAUCCAGUCAUUUUUAUUCUAGGCAUAUUUGCUGCAUGUAUUUUGCCUGCCUGCAUUGUCCAUUCUGUAAUGAAAUGCCUGCCCACAAACUUCCUGCAGGACUUGGGGCCGCUAACCACAUCUCUCCUGCCUUAUGGGGAUCUGGGACCCUGGAAUGAGUCCCUAUCCCACCUCCUGGUGGGUCUGGGACCUGCAACCGCAACCACCCACCUCUUGGGGGAUCUGGAACUUGCGGACCACCCCCAGCUCAUAAUACAUCUGGAUGCCGCAUUUGACCAGUUCCAGCUCUGUGCACUCCAGGUCAGAGAAGUGGAACUCAUAGAUGUCAAACUUCUUGGGCCCCGGCAGCACUUCCUUCUGUGGAAGGGGUCAUGGGACUGAGAAACAGCCAACCAGCCCUUCACUUGCCCUGUCUCUUUCUCCUUCUCCCAACGACCCUCUAUCCAGCCCCAGAUGCUGCAGGUGUCCGGUGAUACCUGCCCUUCCAGUCCCUCUGGCCUGUAGCCUGGGACACCCACAUCCCCUGCUGGUUCAGCCAUCUUUCUCCCUUGCCCCCCACCCCCAGGCCCUUCCAGUACCACCUGGGGGGAGGAGCCAGCCUCUGACCAAGAUUUCCCCCAGCUCAUCCUCCUCACAGUCAGCAGGCUCCUUCCCCAGGUGCUCUUUGGUUGGCUAGGAGAGAAAACAGAUGUGAUAUGAGACAAGGUGACAGCGUCGGCUCCACCCUUCUGACUGUGGACAAGGUGACAGCAUCGGCUCCACGUCUUGGACUAUGGACAAGGUGACAAUGCUGGCUACAACCGUCUGACUGUAGGACAAGGUGACAGCAUCGGCUAUACCCCUCUGACUGUGGACAUGGUGACAGUGCCGUCUACACCCCUCUGACUAUGGACAAGGUGACAGCAUCGGCUCCACCCCUCUGACUGUGGACAUGGUGACAGUGUCAACUACACCUCUCUGUGAACAAGGUGACAGUGCUGGCUACACCCCUCUGACUGUGGACAAGGUGACAGCAUUGGCUCCACCCCUCUGACUGUAGACAAGGUGACAUCCGGCACAAAGGAAUAAUGACCCCUUGGGAAGCCCCAGCUGGAGCCUUCAGUCUCCGAGGUGUCGGCAUUCAGCACCGACCAGCCCAGGAACUGCGUGAGGGACUGCAGAGAGCGGUGUCACCCACCCAGGGCACUGUGCAUGCCAGGCCCUGCGCCCUGAGUGCAGGCCCCGGGCAUGCCACUCCACUGCAGCAAGUGCUAGCGGGGCCUCGGGUGCUCCCAGGAAUGGGCCCGCAGCCCUUCCUGUCCCCUCCCUGCCCAGGCCUCAUGCUGGGUCAGGGGAAAGCAGAUGGUGGGGAGGGAUCCCGAGUUGCUGUCUCCCAUACCUUCACACGGUGUCACCCUCAGAGCCACACCUGUGACAGGUGUUUACCUCCAUGAUGACUUCAUCCUGCUCAUCAAAGGGCUUCCCAUCUUUCCUGUUGUAAAACGUUGCAACCCCCACAAUCUCCUCUUUCUUGUUGACAAUGGGCAUGGAGAGGACAUUCUUGAUGACCCACCCAGAGUCAUCCAGAGGCUCUUCCUGCAGGGAGAGGCGUCCAGAGAUGACCCUGCUCUGGGUCUGGCCCAGGCUUGUCACCCAGUGAGUGUGAGCCUCAUUUCUUCCACUGGGUCGUUGCCCCGUCUGCUCACUCCCCCUGUGCGUACAGCUUUCUGUGGGUUUGUGUUGUGUCUUCUCUCAUAGAGAAUAGGGUGUUUUCCCACCAAGGUGGCCUCAGGGUCCUGCUCUUAAGACAGCUUGGCUGAAUGCUUCACCAUGCGUUUUGAAGCUCUUAGUGAUUGUGAACAGGGGCCUCACAUUCCUAACCUACCAGGCUCUACAAACUACGCAACUGAUGCCCAGCCUGUGAAAUAUGGACACCGUCCAGUUCCUGGUGGAGCCCUGUGAACACAAAGCCCCCGCCAGUCAGCCUGGCCUCAGCCUCCUCCAGAAAGAAGCGGCUCUGGUGACGUGUCCCCAGAUGAAAGAGCAAGGACCAGACCUGCAGCCCUGGGCCCAGCCAGCCUGCGGACUCGGACACAUGGAAUGCACGUUUCUUGUUAUUAGCUACUGAGAUUUUGAGGUUGUUUCUCAAGCAGCAAAAAUCAAUUCAGUCCCUCGUUUCU